Molecule: non-coding RNA, 227 nt
Organism: Paramuricea clavata
Lineage: Eukaryota; Metazoa; Cnidaria; Anthozoa; Malacalcyonacea; Plexauridae
Source: the annotation of a GenBank genome assembly
AAACAAAAAAAAAAAACAAAAAAACACAAACAACAAAAACAAACAGUUAAAGUUUUAAUGUGACAAUAUUAGGGAAUGCAGUAAUAACAUUCUUAUGUCUACAAUAUACCCAUUCCCAUGGAAAGAUAUGGAUAGACACGCAUUGUAUGUAUUGGUAUAUAUAAUACAGUAGAUGAUUAUGUACAAAGGGAUGCUACGACCGAUCUCAAGGACAUUCUGAAUUGUUG